UAUUCUGUAUGUGAACAAAUUUUGUGAAUCCUGAUAUGUAUCUUUAAUUUAAAGCACAAUAGAUAGAUUAGCAAGGUGCACGCACGUCUGAAAGUCUUUUUGAGAGAGAGAGAGAGAGAGAGGAGAAAAGCUCAGAGAGAAGGGGUUAGAAGGGAUUGUGGGGGAUGGGGUUGGGGUCUUUGUAGACUUAUUAUGUUAUAUUACCAAAUAUUAAUUUACUCUAAUAAUUAUAUUACUAUUAUACUAUAUUAACAUAAUAUUAUUUUAUAUUACAAUAAUAUUAUACUAUAUCGUAUAUUUAUGUAUUAAUU
Molecule: long non-coding RNA, 311 nt
Filed under: Phoenix dactylifera (date palm)
Lineage: Eukaryota; Viridiplantae; Streptophyta; Magnoliopsida; Arecales; Arecaceae
Description: long non-coding RNA (PDAC_LNC007954)
Source: RNAcentral